Molecule: ribosomal RNA, 454 nt
Filed under: uncultured bacterium
Lineage: Bacteria
Description: partial 16S ribosomal RNA
Rfam family: Bacterial small subunit ribosomal RNA
Source: RNAcentral
GAUGAACGCUGGCGGCGUGGAUAAGGCAUGCAAGUCAAACGGGCUCUGUAGCAAUACAUUAGUGGCGCACGGGUGCGUAACACGUGGGAACAUACCCUUGAGUAAGGAAUAAUGUCUGGAAACGGACACUAAUACCUUAUAAUGACUUCGGUCCAAAGAUUUAUCACUCAAGGAUUGGCCCGCGUCUGAUUAGGUAGUUGGUGAGGUAACGGCUCACCAAGCCUACGAUCAGUAGCUGGUCUGAGAGGAUGAUCAGCCACACUGGAACUGAGACACGGUCCAGACUCCUACGGGAGGCAGCAGUGAGGAAUAUUGCGCAAUGGGGGAAACCCUGACGCAGCCAUGCCGCGUGAGUGAAGAAGGCCUUCGGGUUGUAAAGCUCUUUCAGUCGUGAAGAUAAUGACGGUAGCGACAGAAGAAGCCCCGGCUAAAUUCGUGCCAGCCGCCGCCGUAA